UGGCGACCGGCGCACGGGUGCGUAACGCGUAUGCAACCUACCUGUAACAGGGGGAUAACACUGAGAAAUCGGUACUAAUACCGCAUAACACUAUGAGAGGCAUCUCUUGUGGUUGAAAGUUUCGGCGGUUACAGAUGGGCAUGCGUUGUAUUAGCUGGUUGGUGAGGUAACGGCUUACCAAGGCGACGAUACAUAGGGGGACUGAGAGGUUAACCCCCCACAUUGGUACUGAGACACGGACCAAACUCCUACGGGAGGCAGCAG
This 264-nucleotide ribosomal RNA is filed under the name uncultured bacterium. Its description in RNAcentral is "partial 16S ribosomal RNA". It matches the Rfam family "Bacterial small subunit ribosomal RNA", at positions 89 to 354 of the family's 1533-position model. The record is from RNAcentral.